UACGUAGGGUGCGAGCGUUAAUCGGAAUUACUGGGCGUAAAGCGUGCGCAGGCGGUGAUGUAAGACAGUUGUGAAAUCCCCGGGCUCAACCUGGGAACUGCAUCUGUGACUGCAUCGCUGGAGUGCGGCAGAGGGGGAUGGAAUUCCGCGUGUAGCAGUGAAAUGCGUAGAUAUGCGGAGGAACACCGAUGGCGAAGGCAAUCCCCUGGGCCUGCACUGACGCUCAUGCACGAAAGCGUGGGAGCAAACAGGAUAGAUACCCCGGU
This 266-nucleotide ribosomal RNA is filed under the name uncultured bacterium. RNAcentral describes it as "partial 16S ribosomal RNA". It matches the Rfam family "Bacterial small subunit ribosomal RNA", at positions 524 to 791 of the family's 1533-position model. The record is from RNAcentral.